GGUGGCUCAGUGGUAGAGCGCUUGCCUUGCAUGUUAGAGGCCCUGGGUUCAAUUCUUCAGCACCA
Dipodomys ordii (Ord's kangaroo rat) is the source of this 65-nucleotide non-coding RNA. Lineage: Eukaryota; Metazoa; Chordata; Mammalia; Rodentia; Heteromyidae. The record is from Rfam.